RNAcentral lists this ribosomal RNA (207 nucleotides) under uncultured delta proteobacterium. RNAcentral describes it as "partial 16S ribosomal RNA". It matches the Rfam family "Bacterial small subunit ribosomal RNA", at positions 568 to 774 of the family's 1533-position model. The record is from RNAcentral. Lineage: Bacteria; Deltaproteobacteria.
CGUGUAGGCGGUUUCUUAAGUCUGAUGUGAAAGCCCCGGGCUCAACCUGGGAAGUGCAUUGGAUACUGGGAGACUUGAGUACGGGAGAGGGUAGUGGAAUUCCCAGUGUAGGAGUGAAAUCCGUAGAUAUUGGGAGGAACACCGGUGGCGAAGGCGGCUGCCUGGACCGAUACUGACGCUGAGACGCGAAAGCGUGGGGAGCAAACA